RNAcentral lists this ribosomal RNA (467 nucleotides) under uncultured bacterium. Its description in RNAcentral is "partial 16S ribosomal RNA". It matches the Rfam family "Bacterial small subunit ribosomal RNA", at positions 29 to 507 of the family's 1533-position model. The record is from RNAcentral.
ACGAACGCUGGCGGCGUGCUUAACACAUGCAAGUCGAACGGAAAGGCCCUGCUUUUGUGGGGUGCUCGAGUGGCGAACGGGUGAGUAACACGUGAGUAACCUGCCCUUGACUUUGGGAUAACUUCAGGAAACUGGGGCUAAUACCGGAUAGGAGCUCCUGCUGCAUGGUGGGGGUUGGAAAGAUUCGGCGGUGGGGGAUGGACUCGCGGCUUAUCAGCUUGUUGGUGGGGUAGUGGCUUACCAAGGCUUUGACGGGUAGCCGGCCUGAGAGGGUGACCGGCCACAUUGGGACUGAGAUACGGCCCAGACUCCUACGGGCGGCAGCAGUGGGGAAUAUUGCACAAUGGGCGGAAGCCUGAUGCCGCAACGCCGCGUGCGGGAUGACGGCCUUCGGGUUGUAAACCGCUUUCGCCUGUGACGAAGCGUGAGUGACGGUAAUGGGUAAAGAAGCACCGGCUAACUACGUG